UGGCGAACGGGUGAGUAACACGUGAGUAACCUGCCCUUCACUCUGGGAUAAGCACUGGAAACGGUGUCUAAUACCGGAUACGACCUCCGACCGCAUGGUCAGGGGGUGGAAAGAAUUUUGGUGGAGGAUGGACUCGCGGCCUAUCAGGUAGUUGGUGAGGUAAUGGCUCACCAAGCCGACGACGGGUAGCCGGCCUGAGAGGGUGACCGGCCACACUGGGACUGAGACACGGCCCAGACUCCUACGGGAGGCAGCAGUGGGGAAUAUUGCACAAUGGGCGAAAGCCUGAUGCAGCAACGCCGCGUGAGGGACGACGGCCUUCGGGUUGUAAACCUCUUUUAGUAGGGAAGAAGCGAAAGUGACGGUACCUGCAGAAAAAGCACCGGCUAACUACGUGCCAGCAGCCGCGGUAAUACGUAGGGUGCAAGCGUUGUCCGGAAUUAUUGGGCGUAAAGAGCUCGUAGGCGGUUUGUCGCGUCUGCUGUGAAAUCCGGAGGCUCAACCUCCGGCCUGCAGUGGGUAC
This 523-nucleotide ribosomal RNA is filed under the name uncultured Microbacteriaceae bacterium. RNAcentral describes it as "bacterial SSU rRNA". It matches the Rfam family "Bacterial small subunit ribosomal RNA", at positions 96 to 633 of the family's 1533-position model. The record is from RNAcentral. Lineage: Bacteria; Bacillati; Actinomycetota; Actinomycetes; Micrococcales; Microbacteriaceae.